This 63-nucleotide transfer RNA is filed under the name Anthicidae sp. DPP-2018. RNAcentral describes it as "tRNA-Asp". It matches the Rfam family "tRNA". Rfam says of the family: Transfer RNA (tRNA) molecules are approximately 80 nucleotides in length. Their secondary structure includes four short double-helical elements and three loops (D, anti-codon, and T loops). Lineage: Eukaryota; Metazoa; Arthropoda; Insecta; Coleoptera; Anthicidae. The record is from RNAcentral.
AAAAAUUUAGUUAAAAAAUAACAUUAGCCUGUCAAGCUAAAAUUAAUGUUUCAUUAAUUUUUA